AACGCACGAGACCUGCGGACCUGCGGAAGGAUCAUUAAUGAGAAACUGCCCCUCGCGGGUAGAUCUCCCACCCUUUGUAAACUUACCUUUGUUGCUUUGGCAGGCCCGUCUCCGGACCGCCGGCUUCGGCUGGCCAGUGCCUGCCAGAGGAUACUAAAACUCUGUCUGUCAGUGUUGUCUGAGUCUAUAUACAAUCGUUAAAACUUUUAGCAACGGAUCUCUAGAUCGGAAGAGCACACG
RNAcentral lists this unclassified non-coding RNA (240 nucleotides) under soil metagenome. RNAcentral's name for it is "partial contains 5.8S ribosomal RNA, internal transcribed spacer 2, and large subunit ribosomal RNA". The record is from RNAcentral.